UUUUUCCAUCUUAGAUCUAUCAGUAUCUAAAACCCUUUUAUUGUUUUGGCUUCUCUUCGGAAAGGUAAAAAGAGGAAGAGAAGAGGCUUUUUUUUUUGUUAGCGUCUUUCUUUCUUUUUCUCUCUCCGGUCUGGUUUCCGUUGCGGUUGCGAAGAGCACUGAAGGGAGGCUGAUUAGUGGAUUUAUGUCGGCUGAGUUUGAUUUGGCUUUGAUUGGGGCUCAGUUGCAGCUCUGUUUCACUUCUUCAACAAAAAUUGUCUCUGCUCGCUUCUUCUGUACUGUUUUGUUGACUGUUUCUUGCAUGAUUCUCUGCUUCUUUAGGCAGAGACUGAAUCCCGUGUUCCCGGCUGUCUCGAUGCGUUUGAGACCAAAAAAGACUUGUUCCGGUGUUGAGUGUUUUGGAGAUUUCGAAAUAAAACAACGAUUUUUAUAUCUUUUCUUGUUUCUUAGAGGGGCUGAUACUUGAUAUCUCUUUGAUUUUCUAACAGAAAUUUUGUUCACCAUUAUUUAUUGGUUUCAUACUUG
Molecule: long non-coding RNA, 525 nt
Organism: Hibiscus syriacus
Lineage: Eukaryota; Viridiplantae; Streptophyta; Magnoliopsida; Malvales; Malvaceae
Exons: 3
Source: RefSeq, a predicted model, not a curated record